Long non-coding RNA from Bos taurus (domestic cattle), 419 nucleotides. Lineage: Eukaryota; Metazoa; Chordata; Mammalia; Artiodactyla; Bovidae. The record is from Ensembl.
UCCAUAGGGUCUCAAAGAGUUGGACGCCACUUAAGCAAGUCCAUGGAAAUACCUUUCGGUGGUUUGAGUUUGCUCAUCCAGCACAUACUUUGGUUAUGACCCACAGUUCCCUGAUCUUGGCCAGAGAGCUCAGAUACCUGCAAAUUCUUAACCACUGGACCAUCAGGGAAGUCUGCAAGAUGUCUUCUAUAAUGACAAGAUCAAAUGCAAAAGUGAACGCUGGACAUUUGCUGGGCAACAGUUUCUAUUCAUAACAUUUUUUGUCUUCUUGAGAAAUGGAGAACGAUACAUGCAGAGUUUGCUUUUUCCCACCAAACACAUCAAAUGAUUGACUCUGCAGCCAACACUUUAGAAAUGAAUUCUGGGGCCAUCAAUAGAAUGAGUUUAGAAAAUAAAUCUCCGCAAGUGAAAAUAUUUAC